Molecule: unclassified non-coding RNA, 258 nt
Filed under: uncultured Eurotiales
Lineage: Eukaryota; Fungi; Ascomycota; Eurotiomycetes; Eurotiales
Description: sequence contains 5.8S rRNA gene, ITS2, 28S rRNA gene
Rfam family: 5.8S ribosomal RNA (bases 1-52)
Source: RNAcentral
AACGCACAUUGCGCCCCCUGGUAUUCCGGGGGGCAUGCCUGUCCGAGCGUCAUUGCUGCCCUCAAGCACGGCUUGUGUGUUGGGCCUCCGUCCUCCGCCCGGGGGACGGGCCCGAAAGGCAGCGGCGGCACCGCGUCCGGUCCUCGAGCGUAUGGGGCUUCGUCACCCGCUCUUGUAGGCCCGGCCGGCGCUUGCCGACACAUCAAUCUUUUUUUCCAGGUUGACCUCGGAUCAGGUAGGGAUACCCGCUGAACUUAA